This 332-nucleotide ribosomal RNA is filed under the name uncultured Glomeromycotina. RNAcentral describes it as "eukaryotic LSU rRNA". The record is from RNAcentral. Lineage: Eukaryota; Fungi; Glomeromycota.
CAGUCGUACCGACGGAAAAUCAGCUCUUUGAGUGCGGACUUGUGGGCUUACGUGAGUUUAAACACCUCGCUGUUUGCAACGUUCGUGUUUUUUGGGUGUACUUUUUCGUAUGGUAGGCCAAUGUCAGUUUCGAUCGCUAUAAAAUGACCGGCGGAAUGUAGCUUCGAUCUCGUAUUGAAGUGUUAUAGCCUCUGGUAGAUGUGGUGAUCGGGACUGAGGAUUGCAACGAAUACCUUUUGGGCUAUCCGUCUGAUCUCUGAAGGUUGCUUAGGUGCCGAAAGCGUGCUUACGGUUAUUUAAGUUGACAGUCAAAAGGUUAGAACGUGAUUAUA